GGCUCGCAAGGCUGGACAGGGAAGGGGCGGCUUCUCUGCUCAUCCAUCAAGGACCUCCCCCAUGCCAGGCUCUAUGUCAGGCUCAUGGCAGGACCUAGAUGAACACAACGCCAUCGGUGCCCAGGGUCCACCAUCUAGUGGGGGAGAGAGGUACAUCAGCAGGUCCUUUGCAUGCUCAUCACUGUGGAUGCAGAUAGGGUAUGUUUGGUCCAGACGAGGUGAAGUCAGAAGUGAGUUUCCAAGCAGAGGAAACAGAAUGAACAAAACCACCAGUGAAAGGAAAGAUCAAGUGUCUCUCAUAGCCAGGAAACACCAGUGUUUUUGGGGACAUGAUACCCACAUGGGAGACCCAGGAUUCAGUGUAGUCAGUGCAUGGGGAAACACAAAAAGAGCUUUUCACAAGUAACUGGCUCCUUUAGGGUGAGCAUGGGUGAAGACAGUGUUAGGUAGGUACUAAGUCACCGCCAUAGCUACAGUCUACUAUAGCUAUUCCUGUUUCUCUGUUUCUUCACCACUUAUGAUUUGUUCAUAUGCUGUAUCUCAUUUGAUGUUCAUAGAAACCCACUUUUUUUUUUUUUUUUGACAGAGUUUCACUCUGUCACCCAGGCUGGAAUGCAGUGGCGUGAUCUUGGCUCACUGCAACCUCUGCCUCCCGGGUUCAAGCGAUUCUCCCGCCUCAGCCUCCCAAGUAGUUGGGAUUACAGGCAUGCACCACCACACCCGGCUAAUUUUUUGUAUUUUUAGUAGAGAUGGGGUUUCACCGUGUUAGCCAGGAUGGUCUCGAUCUCCUGACCUCGUGAUCCGCCUGCCUUGGCCUCCCAAAGUGCUGGAAUUACAGGUGUGAGCCACCGCGCCCGGCCAGAACCGACUUUUUAGAGUUGAGUAAAUUGAGGCCCAGAGAGAUUAGGCAGGUUGCCUAUGGCCCCACAGGAAACAAGGAGCAACAUUGAGACUGGUUGUGAGUUUCUUAGGAUAUAGAGAAGAGGCACUUUAACAGAAAAAGCAAGGCAUGGGGAGUCAGGCUGAACUGGAUUUGGCUUUAAUUCCUUCCAGUUACUACCUGUGUGAUCUCAGAUAAGUGACUCAACCUCUGUGCUUCAUUUUCUUCAACUGUCAAAUGGGGAAUAAAAACUUUUGUGGGGCCAGGCGUGGUGGCUCACACCUGUAAUCUCAGCACUUUAGGAGGCCGAGGCAGGUGGAUCACUUGAGGUCAGGAGUUUAAGACAAGCCUGGCUAACAUGGUGAAACCCCAUCUCUACUAAAAAUACAAAAAUUACCAGGCAUGGUGGCAGGCAUCUAUAAUCCCAGCUACUCGGGAGGCUGAGGUAGGAGAGAAUUGCUUGAACCCGGGAGGCGGAGGUUACAGUGAGCCGAGAUCAUGCCACUACACUCAAGCCUGGGCAACAAAGUGAGACUCUCUCAAAAACAACAACAAUAACAACAAACUUACAUGGGAUGUUUUGACAGUAGCUGAAAAGUUGCAUGCAAAGCACCUAGCUUGGUGUUGGCCCUGUGUUACAUGCAUAGUCAAUAUUUGCACUCUGCUCUUUCCUUGACCCUUAGUAUUAGACACAGAAGUACCUGGUUCAUUCCUUUAGGCAGCAAACAUUUACUGAGGACCUUCUACUUAUUCUGCACACUAAGUAUUCAUAGAUGAAAAGGGACUUUUGUUCCUGAUCUCAUGAUAUUUAUAUUCUGGUGGAGGAGACACAGUUAAUAACUAAACUCUCAGAAAACAAUGAUCAGCCAGUGGCAACUGCUACAUAGCAAUGUAUUAGUGAGCAGCUCCACUGGUUUAAGGAUUUCUAUGAGGAGGUGACGUUUAGUCUGAAACCUAAAUGACAUGAAUGAGCCUCCCAGAGAAGAGCAAAGGGAGCACGUUCCAGGUAGAGGAAGUAGCUGGUGCAAAGGCCCUGAGGCAGGACAGGUUCGGAGUGUGGAACAGAAGGAUGGCCAGUGUGCCUAGGAGCUGGUGGGGAGGGAGGGCUCAGGUAGGCAGGAGCCAGAUUGGUAGGAGGUUGUAUGUUGGGUUUCAGAUUCAGAAUUUUGAUUUAUUGUUGUUGCUGCUGUUUUUAUAGUUAUUUUUUAUAGUUAUUUUGGAUGUAGUGAGAAUUCUUUUAGGCUCCCAAUGGCAGGGAAGGGCACCUGUGGAAGGACCAGAGGCAUGUACUCGCCUGGCCUUUUAUCAGGAUGACCCUGGUCACAGUGCGCCCCUGCUCUCUGUGACUGGGUCCCCAAGUCACAGUGGAUCGCCACUGGCUCCGGCCCUUCUCCCCAUCACCCUAGAGGCCUUCUCAGCAUCUGCCCUCCUUUGCAUCUGGUGAUAAAGGAAAGAAAACCAUUAAGCACUGGAACUCUUUCAGAUUCUGGGAAGCACUUAGAGGCUCAACAAACACUGUUCUUUCAGUUUUUCCUUCAGUUCUCUUUGCUCACAUCAGUAUUUGUCAUCAUCAAGAUUUGAGUGCCCAUUCGGCACAUUUUUCCAAACGUUAAAUGGAAACUGUUCUCGUACCUCGUUUAUUUCCCCCCUCCAUGGAGAAGGCUCCCAUAAAAAGCCUUGCAGGAUGAAGCCGUCAGUUAAUCAUCUGUAUCGGUGCAUUCCCAUGCCGUGCUGCUGCUCAGUGUCGUAAGAAAUGAGACUCCUUUUAUGAGUGACUCACCAGCUUUUCCUACCAUCUCAUUCCCCUGGGGGGAUCGGCGAGGUGAAGAAGUCGUCGGUGGUCUUUCUCGGAAUCCGUGACCAUAUUUAUUUGCUCAGGAAGAAUGCGUGAAUGCUGGCCAUCUGCCAGGAGCCAUGUAGCUCACAGGGGUUGAACUUAGAGACUGAGCCCGCCCCUGUAUGUAAGUGGCCUGCCGCUUAACAACUCUUAGAGAUGCCAACAGGAAGGGCCAUCGGGGCCCAGGAGGCCCAUGAAUGAGAAAGCAGCCUGCUCUAAGCAGUCACCAUGGCUGUCAUCCCAGUCUCUCUCCCCUCUCUCCCUUGACCACUAUGCAUGGGCCACAUCCACCUCCUUUCUGUGCCUUCUACAUUCCGGGCUCACCAUAGGGCUUUCGUGCUUGCUGUUCCCACUGGCGGGAACACCCUGACCCUCUGUGUUUAAAUGUCUCAGCUGUGACAUCACAGAAACUUUGCAAUCUCCUACCCCCACACAAAGUAACCCAUGAAGUCACUGUCUAUGACAUGCCCUGUUUCUUUUUGUUUGGUGGUUUGUUUUUUUUUUUUUUUUUGGGGACAGAGUCUUGCUCUGUCGCCAGGCUAGAGUGCAGUGGCGCAAUCUCAGCUCACUGUAACCUCCGCCUCUUCGGUUCAAGCAAUUCUCCUGCUUCAGCUUCCUGAGUAGCCAGGGCUACAGGUGCACACCACCAUGCCCAGCUAAUUUUUGUAUUUUUAGUAGACACAGGGUUUCACCAUGUUGGCCAGGAUGGUCUUGAUCUCUUUCAUGAUCCACCUGCCUCGGCCUCCCAAAGUGCUGGGAUUACAGGCAUGAGCCACCGCACCUGGCUUUUUUUUUUGAGACGGAAUCUCGCACUGUCGCCCCGGCUGGAGUGCAGUGCCGCGAUCUCAUCUCACGGCAACCUCUGCCUCCCAGAUUCAAGCAAUUCUUCUUGGCUCAGCCUCCCAAGUAGCUGGAAUCAGAGGUGCCUGCCACCAUACCCGGCUAACUUUUUUUGUAUUUUUAGUAGAGACAGGGUUUCACUGUGUUGGCCAGGCUGGUCUUGAACUCCUGACCUCAGGUGAUCCACCCACCUCAGCCUCCCAAAGUGCUGGGAUUACAGACAUGAGCCACUGCACCCAGCCCUUGUUUUCUUUUUGUCAGAGCAUCUACUCCUGUUUACAAUUACCUGGUUCAUAUGUUCGUUUCCUACAUUUUUUCAUAAAUGUAAUACCAAAACAUAAGACUCUUAAAGACUUUGUACUGUUCACCUCUGAGGUUCUCCGUCCUAACAUAGGAUAGAACCAAGCACAUAAUAAGCACCUAAUAAAUAUUUAUUGAGUGAAUGUACUAAGUAAAUUUAAGAAGUAAGAAUGAAGUACCACCAGGUAAAGGGAAGAGCAGAUGAAGAAGUGAACUGUUAAAAGAGAACAUGCUGGAAGUUCAUGUACCAGAGCACAGGCAUGUUGGGGGCAUGGCUAGGAACAAAGCUGACCAGGAGGCACCCUGACUGUGCUGAGAAGCUUGGAGUUUCUCCUCAGGGCAGUGAGGAGCCACUGAAGGGUUUUAGUGAUGGGCAGAUUUAUAUUAGAGAAAAAUCACUCAAGGUAGAGGAUGAAAUGAAAAAGACAAAACUGGAGGGACCACUUAAAGGACAUUGCCCCGGCCGAGCACAGUGGCUCACGCCUGUAAUCCCAGCAUUUUGGGAGGCUGAGGUGGGCGGAUCACGAGGUCAGGAGAUCGAGACCAUCCUGGCUAACACGGUGAAACCCUGUCUCUCUAAAAAUACAAAAAAAUAGCCGAGCGUGGUGGUGGGCGCCUGUAGUGGGCGCCUAUAGUCCCAGCUACUCGGGAGGCUGAGGCAGGAGAAUGGCAUGAACCCGGGAGGCGGAGCUUGCAGUGAGCCGAGAUCACGCCACUGCACUCCAGCCUGGGUGACAGAGUGAGACUCUGUCUAAAAAAAAAGGACAUUGCCCCAUCCCAGGCAAAAACAUGAUGGAUGGGGCUCUGAUCUCUAGGACAGUUGGCGGUGGGAAUGGAGAGAGCAGAUGGAUUGUUUUGUGGGUACUAAGAACAUGAGAGCAGGUGCAGCUAGCACUCAUAAGUCAAGACAAGCAGGUUCCUGUGCACUGCUCCAGCCCUGUUCCUCUGCUAGCUGGGGCUGGGGCUAGGGCUGGAGCUGGGGCAAAGAGAGAGUCUGUAAACAUUGCACUCCUGAACCACAGCUCUGUAGGGAGUUUACCACCUGGUCUUCCGCAGCAUGUCAAGUGUUAUCUGCAGACACAACCAGAGGGAAAGGGUAUGAUCUUGGAUCCAGCCCAAAGCCUAUGCUCCCAGCUCUGUGGGAAGAGGUCAUUAGAGCUGUGAUAAGUGCACAGAUGGUGGUGAGUCUGAAAGAAACCAAGUCAGGAACCUCUUCUUUGGACUUGAGAUCCUAGAUGGGAGCAGGCUCUGAUGGCAGUGUCUAAGUGACUUAAGACUCCUUUCGUCCACUGUAUUAGUCCAUUUUCAUGCUGCUGAUAAAGACAUACCUGAGACUGGGUAAUUUAUAAAGGAAAGAGGUUUAAUUGACUCACAGUUCCACAUGGCUGGGGAGGCCUCACAAUCAUGGCGAAAGAGCAAGGGACGUCUUACACAGUGGCAGGCAAGAGAGAGAAUGAGAACCAAGUGAAAGGGGUUUCCCCUUAUAAAACCAUCAGAUCUCAUGAGACUUAUUCACUACCAUGAGACCAGUAUAGGGGGAACCUGCCCCCAUGAUUCAGUUAACUCCCACUGUGUCCCUCCCACAACAUGUAGGAAUUAUGGGAGCUACAAUUCAAGAUGAGAUUUGGGUGGGGACACAGCCAAACCAUAUCAUCCACCCAGUUGUUAAUUCACUUAGUCGCCAGACACAGGGCUAGUGUUCCAGCAGGCAGCAUUGCAGAUUAAAGCUCGGCUCUUGGAGUGACUGUCGAGUGAGGGUUACAGACAAGCAGAGGAUUAUUAAGUAGUGUGGUUAGUGCCAGAAUAGUGGUAGUGCUUUGAGAGCACACGGGAAGGGCAUUUUACACAACUAGGUAGAGAAGGUGCAUCGAGGAAGACUUCCUGGAGGAGGUGAGAUUUAAAGGUUGAAUAAGUAGGAGUGAAGGAGUCUGAAGGGUAAACUUGGUGGGUGGGAGGGAGCAACAUGAGCACUGGAGACCAGGAGCCAACACAAGCAUGAUCACUCGAGGACCUGCUGGGAGUUGAGAGUCAAAUGAAGUCAGUGUGAGAACUAUAAAAAUGGCUGCACAGGCCAGGUGCGGUGGCUCACGCCGGUAAUCCCAGCACUUUGGGAGGCCGAGGCGGGCAGAUCACCUGAGGUCAGGAGUUCAAGACCAGCCUGGCUAACAUGGUGAAACCCUGUCUCUACUAAAAGUACAAAAAGUAGCUGGGCAUGGUGGCACGUGUCUGUAAUCCCAGGUACUUGGGAGGCUGAGACAGGAGAAUCGCUUGAGCCUGGGAGGCGGAGGAUGCAGUGAGCCGAAAUCAUGCCAUUGCAAUCCAGCCUGGGCAAUAAGAGCAAGACUCCAUCAAAAAAAAAAAAGAUAAGAAGAAAAAGAGAGAGAGAAAGAAAGAAAAGAAAGAGCUGCACAAGUUAAUUUUUGCGUUAUUUUAAUUUUUUCACUGGGAAAUUGAUAAUGACAAUAAGAGUAUGAGCUCUCUGGUAGUCUGAAUCGCUCAUUUAAUAGACACAUGACCUCAGAGAAUUCACCUAAACGCUCUGAGCCUUGGGUUUACCAUCUGAGAAAUGGGUACAUGACACCAUUGCCAUGGGGUUUUAUGAACAAUUGAAGGCCAAAAAAGAAGGACUUGGCACCAGGAACACAGUGUGCCUUGGGAUGAGUUUCUUCACAGACCCCAAUGCCUGACCCAUGUGAUCAUAAUCCACUGUUCCACACAUAGGCUUUAGGUUUUAUUAGCAACUCUGGUAAAAAGACAUAGCAGAGAAGGGAACCUGUAGAGUCUCUGAGAAAUCUGUCUGUAAAGCAUGUGAGAAGGUGUCACAUUGGCUCUAAGUCAGACAAUCCCAAGUAUCCCCACUGAUUCGGAAAUUCAGGGUAGGAAGAAGAGGCUAUUUGGUUUGCCUUGCUGCCAAAAUGAAAAUAAGGACAUCCAGUCAGGGAUGUAAUUCUUCAUCAAGGAGCCAAGAUGUGAGGGGCAGAGCCCCAUUUCAGAGCCACUGGUUGGGCUGCUUGCUCUAGGACAAGACAGUUUGAUUUGCAAGAGAACAGGCUCCCCCAGUGCUAUGGAAUGACAGUAGCUAACUGGCCACAGCCACUUGUCUCUCAUAGUUUGGGCAUCUCUCCCUGGAACUUGUAAAUUCUUUAUGUAGUGCAGUAAGCAUUUGGUAUGCAUUGGUUAUUAUGAGUUGAUUGAUUGACAUAGGGAUGGAGGUUAGAAUUCUAUACCUUAGCAUUUCUCUCCCUUUUCCUCAACAACCCAGCCCCUCAAGAAUAUCCAAGAAAUGGCAGGGUGUGGUAGCUCAUGCCUAUAAUCCUUGCACUUUUGGAGGCAGAGGCACAAGGACUGUUUGAGCCCAGAAGUUUAAGGUUGAAGUGAGCUAUGAUUGAUCCGCUAUACUCCAGCCUGUGUGAUGGAGUAAAACCCAGUCCCUAAAAUUAAAUUAAAUUAAAUUAAAUUUAUAAAAGAAUAUCCAAGAAACCCCAGGACUCUCCCAGAACAUAGGUGGAUAAUCAGAGCUAUUCUCUACCGUUUUAUCUAUUCAGAAUCCUUCCACAGUAUCCCUAAUAGGCUUGCAUCUGGCUUCUGCUGAAAUCCUCCCAAAGACAGAGAGCUCACCACCUUCCAAGGCAGCUUACUCUGCUAUUGGAAAGCUCCAGAUGCUAAAUUGUUCUACCUCAUGUUGAGCUGAAAUAUUCCCCUCUGUAAAGAACCCACUGAUCUGAGCCCUGUCCUCUGGAGUCUAGGUUUUGUUGGGGUUUUUUUUGUUGUUGUUGUUCUUUUUUUUAAUGAAACAUAAGGAAAUAAGGAUCCUUCCACCUCCCUAGUACCUGACAGCCCAGAAGAUAGCAUAGAAAGUUUCCAUUCAGUUUGCUAUUUAGAAACAUGCAAUGCUCCCUAAGUAUUGUAUUUGUAGGGUGAUGCUUUAUCAUCAAGAGGGUCUUGCUCCACCUAAGGGAAUUUCCAACUAAAGGAACCUCAUCUUUUUAAAUGCAAAAACCAUUAAAAUAGAUGGGUUUUAACCAAUUUGGACAGGAAACUUGCUGCUAAAGUGUAUGCCGUUCCUUUAGUAAGCAAACACUAAACUCAGUUUAGUAUUAAACUAAGUUUACAGUAUUUGAUGACUGUGGUUACAUUGUAAAGGCUGGAGGAGGUGGGCGGGGGUUGUCCAGAGGAGGAAAGAUACUGUUUAACCUGGCAGGAAAUGGCCCCAGACUAUUCACUGCUUAUUCUGUGGAUUCCUUUCUGACAGCUGUCACUUUCUGCUUAUCAGCUUCAGAACAACCCUUUCUGGGCUCGCCUCCUUGUUCCUUCUUUCCAAGGCAGCCAACGCCCCCUUCCCCCCACAAAAAAAAACCCACAAAGGUAUUUAAUUUAGAAAGACUGAUGGUAAAAGAAUGAUCUGUUGUUAUGUUAAAAGCUAGAUUAUGAAACAUACCAAACAUCCACAAACUACAAAAAAAAAUACACUGGACACCAAUGAAUUUUUGAAUGUAUAUGGAAUUGUAAGUCAACAGCCAGUGUCUCCGACCCCUGCCCACAGCAGACAUCACUAAUUGAUGACUGCAUUAUUCACCUAUGCCCAACUUCUUUAUCCUCCUCAAAACAGCACUCUGAGUAAUCAGUAUUGGUCUCCUAGCCUCCUAGUGAUAGCAGGGAACCAAAGCCUGCUGGGUAUCCCUACGAUAGGUAUUAGUCAUUCUGGUCUCUCCUGCAUGAGCACAGCUCUUUGUGCUGUUCUAAGACCUUUCUCUGCUUGCCUCUAGCUUUUGGGAAUUGGAAAUUUUCUACAGGGAAAGAAAGAGAAAGGGAAAUACAACUUUAAUCUUCACCACAAAGAGAGGGAGUCAUUAUGAGUCACACUUCACAGAUAAGGAAAGGAAGCCUUCAAAGAAAUGAUUUACUUGUUCAAGACCACACAACUCCUAAGUGCUGGGGCCGUGAUUAGAAACCAGGUCUACCUAACUCUAAAGCCACAAGACAAGGAAGUGCUUCCCAAAUGCAUGUAGCUAUGUAUGUCAUAUUAAUGUAAUAGUAACAGUAUUACAUAUAUCCAGGUUAUUCCACAAUUCUCCUAGUUGUUAUAUGCAUACGGUUUUCUUACUCUUUCACUAACCCUUCAAGGUAGUUCCUGUUAUCUCCUUUUUUAUUAUUUAUUUGUUUUAUUUUAUUAUUAUUAUUAUUUUGAGAGAGAGUCUCGCUCUGUCACCCAGGCUAGAGUGCAGUGGCACAAUGUCGGCUCACUGCAACCUCCGCCUCCCGGGUUCAAGCAAUUCUCUGCCUCAGCCUCUCGAGUAGCUGGGAUUACAGGCACCUGCCACCAUGCCAGGCUAAUUUUUGUGUUUUUAAUAGAGCUGGGGUUUCACCAUCUUGGCCAGGCUGGUCUUGAACUCCUGACCUCGUGAUCCACCCGCCUCAGCCUCCCAAAGUGCUGGGAUUACAGGCGCGAGCCACUGCUGUUAUCUCCAUUUUAUACAGAAGGAAAUAGAAGCUCAGAGAGGUGAAUUCAUAAAACACGUUGGUGGCAGAGCUGAAGCCGGUAUCAAGCCCUGAUUCAUAGUUGAGUGGUCUCUCUACGACUAUUUAAAAUACUCCUCUAUCUAAAAUUGCAAUGCCUGUCCCAUACCCCAGCACUCCCUCUCUCCAGGGCUCCUUCAUUUUUCUCCAUAGUACUUAUCACUAAUAUAAUCAUGACUUAUUUAUUUUUGUUGAUCAUGUCUCUACCCACUAGAAUGUAAGCUCUGUGACUACAGGGCUUUUUAUCUGUUUUAUUCAUCAGUACAUCUUCAUUAAAGAGUGCCUGGUACCAGAUCCAUGCUCAAUAAAUCUCGUUGAACAAAUGAACUAUAACAAGUCCUUUUCUUGAAGCAUUUGUGGUGUGCCAGAAACAUCCCUCCACUUGGACUCAGAAAAUUUGGCCCAAGCUGGGCAUAGUGGCUCAUACCUGUAAUCCCAGCACUUUGAGAGGCUGAGGCAGGAAGAUCACUUGAGCCCCAGGAGUUCUAGACCAACCCAGGCACCAUAGUGAGACCUCGUCUCUGUGAAAAAUAAGCAAACCACACAUGCCUGUGGUCCUAGCUACUCAGGAGGUUGUGGUGGGAGGAUCACUUGAGCCUGGGAGGUCGAGGCUGCAGUGAAUCGAGACGGCACCACCACACUCUAGCCUGAGCGACAGAGCAAGACCCAGUGGCCCUAGACCAGAUCUACGAUUUUAGGCAUAACUCUAGCCUUACAUGAACCUCGGUUUUCCCAUCUGUAAAAUGGUCAGUAAAUGCACCCACACCAGGCUAUUUGAGGAGAGUUAAAGGGGUUAAAGUAUUCAAAGUGCUGCACCAUCUAGGCAGUUAUAGUUACGAGUAUUUUCCAGAAAGCUUGUCUUGGAUACCCGCUCUCUCAACUGCUGGGAGAUCACUGCCUCACCUCUGAAAUGAAGAAGGCUUCCAAGCUUAACUCUCUCACGCUAUGAAGGUGACAGGCCACUUCCAAGGCCACGUUCCCUGACACUAAGCCCACUAAGAGGAAAAAACAACAGCAUCACCUCAACUAGAAGUUAAAAAUAAGACACAUAUAAACAGAUUCUAUAACAUUGUAUGGCAUCACCCUGCAAGGCAAUGCCAAGAAACAGAUGGCUCUGUGGAAACAGCUGUAUCUCAGAAGAAUCCCGGAGAAAGCCCAGAAUGCAUACCUGCUCUCACGUGCGAGCCACAUGUCGCCAACUCUUCGGUCACGCAGCAGGCAGCAGAGCCCAGGAUGGACAGACCCAAAACCCUAAGGCAGGCUAGGCUGCUCAAGGCCAGUCUCCAGGGACCCUCCAGGAAUGUGUUAAGCUCCAGAGAGAGGGGGUGAAGGGAAGAGGAGCUGUGGGAUCAAGAGACUCAGUGGAUACAAGUCUGGGCCACGGUUUCCCCUUGUGGCCUGGCUGCUUUGAUCCUGUUCAGCUGCAACUUACACAGAGCCCUGUUUGACCCCUCUAGGCACUGGUUGUCAUCUGUCUGCACUUGCCAGGUGUUCGGCCCUCCCUUGUCUAUAAAGCAGCUCCCUCCCUUCCUCUCCUUUCUACCAUAUCUCCCUUUCUCAAGUAGCAUCUCUUACUUAUACAGUAGAUAAGAAGGCAGCUCUGGAAUGAGGCUGCCUCAUGUGAAAUCCCAGCUGGACUGCCAGCUGUGGGAUUCCCGGUGAUCUGCUUAAACUCCCUGCACCUCAGUUUUCUCAUCUGUACGAUGGAAAUUAGUUAUUCCUAUCUGAUAGACUUAAGAGGAAUCAAUAAAGUAAGACAGGGCCAGGAGCUUAGAACAAUGUGGCAGAUGGCAAAGGCCCCCCAGAAUUAAGGUUUGUGUUAUGAUUGCACUGUGUUUGUAAUUAGUGACUGGCUUCAUUGCCUCUCCUCCUAGACCAUAGGAAUAAUACAAGCGCAGAAGCAGGAGCUCAUUCCCUAUUCCUAGCACAAGACUUGGCAUAAAAUAAGAGCCUAUGAAUUGUAUGUGAUGCAUGAAUUAAUACUGAUAACUGGGAGGGAGGAGACCAAGACUUUUUCUUAUCUCCUCCAAGUAGAGGUCAGGGCUGGGCAGACCCUCUCUGAACCUUCACUCAACAGUCCUGAAUGCAGCCCCCUACCUCCCUGCAAAAGAAUGAAAAUGGACUCAUAGUUUGGUUUCCUUAGUAAAAAAAUGCUUUGGGUUCCUGGAACUUGUUGAUUAAUACACACAGCAGGCAACGAGGAAGGUCGUGAGCUUUUUCUGCCUGUCCUUGUGGCUUAAUAAGAUGUAACUGCUUUGUGGAAACCACAGGGACAAGCUCUGGGUUAGGUUUCAGGAGACCAGAGUUGGAGCCCCAGCUUCUCUGAGCACCUUGGGCCCUCAUCUGUCAACUGAGGACCCUAAGGGCAGCCUUGCCUGUCUCAUGCAAGCAUUGGGGAGGAGUAAAAAUGAAAUAGUGGAUACGAAGCCACCAAAAAGUGAAAGCAAGUUGAAAGUGCAAAGCAACAUGCUUGAGUGGUAAUUUCCCCAUCAGUGAUUUCACCCAUUGCCCCAAGACAUCAGAAGGAGGGGUGUCACAGGAAGAAAGAAACGGGGCCUCCGAGACUCCUUAAUUGGUCCAUCGUACUAUGUCUCCGUCACUUACAGGCUACAAGCAUUCAGAUGUGCCUGUUAGUCAAGGUAGCACGAGCAGCUGUAAUGUGGCUCAACCUGCUGGAACCUUGCAGAAAGUCCACAUGGGUGUUCAUGAUUGGCAGGUAGCUUUUCUGCAGGUUGAAGGACCCAGGCUCCUUUUGUCUUGUGGCUCUGCCCUCCACAGAACCCCAGCCUGCUCUACAGGAUUCUCUUGCUCUGGCUGUCAGCCAAGAAAAGAAGGUGAAUAAAAUUUGUUCCUGAGCAAGGCUUCAGAGUGGUGCCUGUACUAGCCAGAGCCUUUCCAGACUCCAGUGGCCAGAGCUGUAUCACAGAGUUAUUCUUAACUGCAAGGAGGCUGGAGAUACAGCCUAGCUCUGUGCCCAGGAAGAGAGCAAAAUAUGGAUAUUGGUGAGCACAGGAUGUUUCUGCCACCGUGUGAAAUACAUGUGUUGAGUCCUGUGCAGUCACAGAAUCGUUUACUGUUAGAACUAGAAAGAAGCCCAGAGGCUGACCAACUAGGCAUUGUAGUGAGUUGGUUACCUGCAAGAAGUCAGAGGAAAUACACCUGGGUUUGAAUCUCAGCUACUCUGUUCGCGCACUGUAUAACCUUAAGCAAUGGCUAAACCUUUCAGAUGAUGGAUGUCGUCUCCUACUAAAGAGGACUAAGAGUGGUUCCUGAUCUAUAGAGUUGAUGUGAGUCUUACAUGAGAAAGAACCUGCAAAGCUCUCCUCACUUUACCUGACCCGUUUUUUAUGGCCUGCUUCGUUCAUGGAACAUUGUGUCUUCCACCAUCUCAUUUGAUUCUCACCUCCAUCUCCUGGGAAGAAGUAAUUGUGUUGCGAAAUGUCCCUGGUUUGAGGUCCGAAGACUGGAUUCCCAUCCUGAACUUCUUCUCGCUCACUGAAGCAGAUUACUGAAAGCUCCUGAGCCUUAGUUUCCUCCUUUGUACAACACAUAUGUGUGCUGAAGGAUUAAAUUGAUGAAGCAAUGCACCUGAAAACAUUUAGCAUUGCGCCAGUCACAUAGUAGGUACCCAGUUAGUAUUAGGUGGAUCAAGGUGCAAAGCACCAUGUAGAGGAGAAAUGAACAUGCAAGUUCAAGGAUGGCAUCUGGUUGCCCCAGAGUCCUGUGGACAGGUAUGUCUGACAGCAUACCUGACUUUCUUUCUUUCCUGUUUUGUUUUUGUUUUUUGUUGUUGUUUUUGUUUUUGGUGGUGGUGGUUGUUUUUUGAGACAGAGCCUCACUCUGUCACCCAGGCUGGAGUGCAAUGGCGUGAUCUCGGCUCACUGCAACCAUCCCCUCCCAGGUUCAAACGAUUCUCCUGCCUCAGCCUCCCAAGUAGCGGGGACUACAGGCGGACGCCACUGCACCCAGCUAAUUUUUUGUAUUUUUAGUAGAGACGGGGUUUCACCGUGUUAGCCAGAAUGGUCUCGAUCUCCUGACCUCAUGAUCCGCCUUCCUUGGCCUCCCAAAGUGCUGGGAUUACAGGCAUGAGCCACGGUGCCCGGCCACCUGACUUUUUUUCUACAAUACCCACUGUGGUUGGUAAAUGACAAUAUUCCCUAGAUAAUACCCUUUAUACACAGCAGCAAGGGCUGCAAAUGAGCUUGGGAUGUGGAUGCCACCAAAUCCCAUUAUUGGUACCAUGAAGUUCAGAGCUGGAGGUGGCCUCUUCUCCAGGACUGCCCUAGUCCAUCCCACUAGGGCAAGGUGUACUUUGGAAGUCCUCGGAGCACCUCCGUUGACCAGUACUCCCUCUCCUAACAUACAGGAGCUGAGCACAUCCAACAGAGGCUUGCUGAACAUCCAAGAUGGAUCACAUCAGCCACGCAGUCAGCAAUAAGCAAGCCUAGGUUAGGAUGUGAAAAGGUACAUGAUAUAAUCAUAACCACAUUGCUUAAGUUUCUGCAGCACUUUAGAGUUUACAAAACACUUGACAUGCAUUAGCUCAUUUGAGAAAAAUGCAGGGAAUUAAUUAACUACAGAAAAGUAUAAAGAAGCCAAUAAAAUUCAUCUGUGAAUCCACCACUCAGAAAAUCUUUGUUAACAUUGGAUAUAGAACCUGGAUAUUGCUAGGUUCAGAUGGUUCAGAAA
Pan troglodytes (chimpanzee) is the source of this 14063-nucleotide long non-coding RNA. RefSeq lists it as uncharacterized. The transcript is spliced from 2 exons. NCBI's taxonomy places the organism in Eukaryota, Metazoa, Chordata, Mammalia, Primates, Hominidae. The record is from RefSeq and is a predicted model, not a curated record.